GUAGGGAAUCUUCCGCAAUGGACGCAAGUCUGACGGAGCAACGCCGCGUGAGUGACGAAGGUUUUCGGAUCGUAAAACUCUGUUGUGAGGGAAGAACACGUACCAACUAACUAUUGGUACCUUGACGGUACCUCACCAGAAAGCCACGGCUAACUACGUGCCAGCAGCCGCGGUAAUACGUAGGUGGCAAGCGUUGUCCGGAAUUAUUGGGCGUAAAGCGCGCGCAGGCGGUUCCUUAAGUCUGAUGUGAAAGCCCACGGCUCAACCGUGGAGGGUCAUUGGAAACUGGGGAACUUGAGUGCAGAAGAGGAAAGUGGAAUUCCACGUGUAGCGGUGAAAUGCGUAGAGAUGUGGAGGAACACCAGUGGCGAAGGCGACUUUCUGGUCUGUAACUGACGCUGAGGCGCGAAAGCGUGGGGAGCAAACAGG
RNAcentral lists this ribosomal RNA (429 nucleotides) under uncultured bacterium. RNAcentral's name for it is "bacterial SSU rRNA". It matches the Rfam family "Bacterial small subunit ribosomal RNA", at positions 354 to 776 of the family's 1533-position model. The record is from RNAcentral.